Long non-coding RNA from Oreochromis aureus, 187 nucleotides. RefSeq lists it as uncharacterized. The record is from RefSeq and is a predicted model, not a curated record. The transcript has 4 exons. NCBI's taxonomy places the organism in Eukaryota, Metazoa, Chordata, Actinopteri, Cichliformes, Cichlidae.
AGGGGCCCGUCCCAGGAGAAGCAGCAGGUGAAGAAGAGGCUGCGGAAGAGACGUGGUGGUCGCCACGUGAAAAAAAGAGCUCGCAUUUCUGAUGAGGAAUCUCGCUCUAGUGUGCCUCCACCAGGUAGAGCAGCUGCUCUUCCCCUAAGCUCCCAUGGAGCCCACGAAAUGGUGGUCAUUUUGGAGG